RNAcentral lists this ribosomal RNA (497 nucleotides) under uncultured bacterium. Its description in RNAcentral is "partial 16S ribosomal RNA". It matches the Rfam family "Bacterial small subunit ribosomal RNA", at positions 28 to 507 of the family's 1533-position model. The record is from RNAcentral.
GAUGAACGCUGGCGGCGUGCCUAAUACAUGCAAGUCGAGCGAACGGACGAGAAGCUUGCUUCUCUGAUGUUAGCGGCGGACGGGUGAGUAACACGUGGAUAACCUACCUAUAAGACUGGGAUAACUUCGGGAAACCGGAGCUAAUACCGGAUAAUAUUUUGAACCGCAUGGUUCAAAAGUGAAAGACGGUCUUGCUGUCACUUAUAGAUGGAUCCGCGCUGCAUUAGCUAGUUGGUAAGGUAACGGCUUACCAAGGCAACGAUGCAUAGCCGACCUGAGAGGGGGAUCGGACACAAUGGAACUGAGACACGGUCCAGACUCCUACGGGAGGCAGCAGUAGGGAAUCUUCCGCAAUGGGCGAAAGCCUGAAGGAGCAACGCCGCGUGAGUGAUGAAGGUCUUCGGAUCGUAAAACUCUGUUAUUAGGGAAGAACAUAUGUGUAAGUAACUGUGCACAUCUUGACGGUACCUAAUCAGAAAGCCACGGCUAACUACGUG